ACAGCCUUUCCUCUACAGGGAGCCAGGUUCUGCUGUGGUGCAGUGGUUGCACAGCCUUUCCUCUACAGGGAGACAGGUUCUGCUGUGGUGCAGUGGUUGUACAGCCUUUCCUCUACAGGGAGACAGGUUCUGCUGUGGUGCAGUGGUUGUACAGCCUUUCCUCUACAGGGAGACAGGUUCUGCUGUUGUGCAGUGGUUGUACAGCCUUUCCUCUACAGGGAGACAGGUUCUGCUGUUGUGCAGUGGUUGCACAGCCUUUCCUCUACAGGGAGACAGGUUCUGCUGUGGUGCAGUGGUUGUACAGCCUUUCCUCUACAGGGAGACAGGUUCUGCUGUUGUGCAGUGGUUGCACAGCCUUUCCUCUACAGGGAGCCAGGUUUUCCUGUGUCUACACUUCUCAAUGGCAAGGCUGUGCUCACUGAGCCUGUACUUUGUCAAGGUUUUUCUAAGGUUUUGAUCAGUAACCAUGGUCAAAUUGUUAUCCAGUGUAAUGUCGACUUAGGGCCAGAUAGCACUGCAUUUCGCUUUGUGAUUGUGUUUCUCAAUAGGUCAUGUGGUUUUGUUUUGACUGUGUUGUAAUUUGUUUCAUUCUGAUUGAUUGGAUGUUCUGGUCCUGAGGCUUCAGUGUUAGUAGAACAGGUUAGUGAACUCAGGACCAGCUGGAUGAGGGGACUGAGGCUUCAGUGUUCGUAGAACAGGUUAGUGAACUCAGGACCAGCUGGAUGAGGGGACUGAGGCUUCAGUGUGUUAGUAGAACAGGUUAGUGAACUCAGGACCAGCUGGAUGAGGGGACUGAGGCUUCAGUGUGUUAGUAGAACAGGUUAGUGAACUCAGGACCAGCUGGA
Long non-coding RNA from Oncorhynchus keta (chum salmon), 845 nucleotides. RefSeq lists it as uncharacterized. The transcript is spliced from 3 exons. NCBI's taxonomy places the organism in Eukaryota, Metazoa, Chordata, Actinopteri, Salmoniformes, Salmonidae. The record is from RefSeq and is a predicted model, not a curated record.